CAGCAGUCAAGAAUAUUAGUCAAUGCUCGCAAGAGUGAACAAGCCAACUGGAAUCACAACAACUUGUGAUAAAGUAAGGGAGGAUAAUGACGUUACCUUACUAUUAGUGUCGUCUAAAAUUGGUGCCAGAAGACUCGGUAAUACCAAAUACACAAACGUUAGUCAUCAUAAAUAGGCGUAAAGGGUUUGUAGGCUGCUCAUAAAAUUUAUAUAAUAAGAGCUAGAAUCAAAUAGAGGUCAAUAUCAUACCUAGUGAAAGAAUUAAAUCUGUAAAUAUUAGGGGGAAUACUAGAAGCGAAGGCGAUUUUCCAUUUAAUGAUUGACGCUGAGACACGAAGGUUGGGGCAGGAAAUAGGAUUAGAUACCCUAGCACUCCCAACUGUAAACGAUGAAUGGUAGGUGUUAAUUAUAUUAAAAUUAGUACCGAUGUGAACACGUUAACCAUCCGCCUUGUGAGUAUACUGCAAAAGUGAAAACAAAAAAAUAGUCGGCCCGAAGCAA
RNAcentral lists this ribosomal RNA (501 nucleotides) under Rhizoctonia solani. RNAcentral's name for it is "partial small subunit ribosomal RNA". It matches the Rfam family "Bacterial small subunit ribosomal RNA", at positions 349 to 928 of the family's 1533-position model. Lineage: Eukaryota; Fungi; Basidiomycota; Agaricomycetes; Cantharellales; Ceratobasidiaceae. The record is from RNAcentral.